Meleagris gallopavo (turkey) is the source of this 5401-nucleotide non-coding RNA. The record is from RefSeq and is a predicted model, not a curated record. Lineage: Eukaryota; Metazoa; Chordata; Aves; Galliformes; Phasianidae.
UGUAGAUGUCCUGUCUCUGGAGGUGCUCAAGACCAAGUUGGAUGGGGCCCUGGGCUGCAUGUUUUAGUGGCUGGCAACCUUGCCCACGGUGGGGUGUUGGAACUGGAUGAUCUUAAAGGCCCUCCAACCCUGGUCAUUCUAUGAUGUUUGCUCCUAUGUAGCAGAGAGCUUGCAGGUAGUGUCACAUACAUGCAUAAGCUAUUGGAAAUAAUUUUCUGCGACUGAAAGUCACUGUUUUUGCACUGAAAAAUAAGUUCCAAGAAAUAUCAAGUGGAUUCUAGCCAUUUUUCCUUGUGGAUAAAUAGGAAUUGCUCUGUAGCAGGCAAUCAGUCAUCACGGAUAAUGGGACAACAAAGCUGCCUCCUGGACUUUAAUUACUAGUCGUAGAACCACGUUUCUCUCUGUGUAUUUUUUUUAACUGAGCAACAGAGGUAAGUAAAAUUGAAUCAACUUUAAUGCGGGAUUGUAGCAAAGACCAGUAUACUACUGGGAUCACUUAAAGGCCAAUUUGCCUAUUUGAAAGCACUCUGAUUAGAAGUGUAAUGGCAUAGAAUGAGAAAGCUAAUGUGGCAAUCCAUUUGGUUCUUCCUCUCCCAAGGAAAACAAGCUUCUGGAAGAAGUGAAAGAAGAAAAUACCUCAGAGGACACAAAUAAAAGGAGGUCAAGUCCUCAAGCAUCACUGGGUUAGAAAGGAGAUUCGAGACAGACACAGGAAAGGGAACCAGUUUGAAGCUAAAGGAAGGAGACCCCCAGCUCUCUGUGAAGGACAGGCAUGAGCUGGCAUCGAGUCAGAACGUCCUUGUGAAGGUGGGAGAGAACUGGAGUGUGGGGGUUCUUCUGCCUUUGAAACCACCUUUGUGUGAGUAAGAAUUGCAGCUGUCCUGAAGAGGUACGUUGGUGCUUAGCAGAGAUGAGAGCAUGCAGUUUGCAGCUAAACUAGGAGAUGAGUAGGUGUCUGAAUCGUUUUCUGCAUAUAUCCAGGUCAGAAUGGGAAAAGGAGAUUUUCUCCUCUGAUGCCUGUAAGGUCCAGAGGCAGCAUCUACAAAGCACAGGUUAUGUUCAUAUUCAGUAGGGUCCCAUCUGGCCUGGCUGAGGUCUGCCUUUUUCACAUCAACUAUAGCCUCCAUCCUACUUUUCUCCUUGCAGAAUCCCAAUUUCCAAGCUGUUGGGCUGACUGCACAAAGGGAGACGCUGGCUCAGCGUGUUAAGACCACACUGAACAUUUAUAGCAUAGAAUGAAAAAGUAAAGGUGAAAUGUGCAGCCCAGGGCUCUGGGUUCUUUCUUGUGAGCUCCUGGGAAUGGAAUUUUUGCCCAUUGGACUUGAGCUGCUCUAAAAAGCACAGAACAAAAGCUGAUCUUAAAAGUGAUCCGCAAAGGAAUAAAUGGCAGGCACCUCUUUGUUAUUCAUGUAUGGCACUCAAAGAGCACUUGAAAUGGUUGGGAUUUUCAGCGGACAUUUUCUUUAUUUAUUUAUUUUUAUUCUUCUUGGGUUUUGGGGGGGUUGGUGUUUGUGACCCAGGAGCAGAAAUAUAUUAUGGCUGGCUGGGAAACCCAUGCAAUUGGUGACAUCAGGAGACACAUGUGAGUGAAACAGGCCUAAAAGGGAAAAGCCAGGCGUCUGGGACUGCGAUAUUCUCCAAGAGGCAGCCUGGCCUUUGUCUUUUACUUAAUUUUAUUCCUGCCUGCCCUGUGCUCCAUGCCACAUGAUUUAUGCACUGAAUCAUGCUCAGCAGCCGUAUUCACAAGCUGGCACAAAUUUAUUUUUGUCUGCUGGCCAAUUACACCAACUGCCUCAACUGUUGUUUAUUUUCUUCUGUUGCAUCCUCUUGAGUUACCAUUAACAGUGUCGCUUUUGAGUAAAGAUGGGCUUUUUGGCAACAGGGCCUGUCGGCCUGCCAAACUAAUGGACCAUGUAUGUUAUCUAACAAGUCAAAAGGGCUCCAAUUUCAAGACAGCCUGCAGUUGUUGUGGCCACCUGCAGUGCACUGGCAGGGGUGUAGGCCACUGACCGUGUGGGACGUGUCACCCUGGCUCAAGCAUGUCCUUUGGUACAGAUUGCCUUUAGGAGAGGAUGUGUAUGGGCUUUGCUAUGGAGAACAACAGCCGUUCUGUGGCUGAUAGCGUAACACUGGGAUGAAGAGCACCCCACAUGUGGCUGAUCUGGAUGGAGGCUGCUGCAGUCGCCAGAGCAGGACCCAAGCAUGGAUGAUCCUGAGAAACCUACAUAGCGACAGCCCCUGGACUCCCCUGGCUGAGAAGAGAUUAAUUUAAACAGCCUGAAAAGUAGCAAAGGGAAAAGUCGUCUUUCAUGAGAUGGAACUGUGACUGUCACUUUCUGAGGGACAACCCUGUACCAGCUGCCAGAUGGAAGUAAAACUGUCCUUCAAGAGGGUGGCAGUCCUUAAUGGAACAGUCAUGGCUUCAUCCUGCCUGCAGCUGUGGAAAUGCCACCUAUUGGGCCUGCUCCUGGCCUGCAGCCGCUGUGCUUGAGGAAGUCUGCAUGCUGGAGGGGAGGUCCUAGAAAUGCUACUCAAUGAGUCUGCCUUUUGUGACUGCCUGUUGGGUCAACCUCAGCAAGACAAGCCUGGACCCAAUAACAACAGUGUCCCCCUGGUUAAGUCACCUUCCUGCAACAUGGGGAGUUAAAUCCUUUCCAGAUGGCGGAGGAACUUUUAUUUCUCAUAUCAUGGGUGAGCUGCUGCUAGUGAGCAGUACUGUGCAAUGCAGCUUCUAGUGGCUAUUUUCAGCCACGUAUGGUCAAGACCUGGAGAAAUCUCUUCUAGGUCAGAGAAGUGGACUGCUAUUACCUCAGUGGACUCAUUUCCUGAGGACAGUAACAGAAGGAUUGUUGGCCUCCAAACAGAGCACUGCUGGUGUAUAGCCUAAGCAAGCACCCUUUAAACUACAUUUUUGCUUCUGUAAACUGUUUUGGUAACAGAUGAAACCAGUUGGGUUGAUCUACCUUCUGCUAAACCAGUACCUUCAGUGCUACAAAGGCACUCUGUGAUGCACAGGAAUCAGUCCCAUCUUCACCUUCUCCUUGGUCUCUGCCAGCCCUCUCCAUGGACAGGAGAGUAUUUACAUUACCAAACAUUGUAAUGACAAGCAUCUUGGGAUCUUGCAAGACUGUGUUGUUAAAUAAGUCAACAAGUGGUGUAAUGCUUGGCAUGUGGGGAAGAUGAAAGAGAAGCAGGCUUCAAAACAGAUAAUGAAUUUCUUCUAACUCGUCUGGAGACCGAAGAGCCAUAAUUCUGAUUGAUCAGUUAUGGUCUGCUUUGGAGAGGCACCAGAUGUGAUCCAGAUUUUAAAUAGAUGCUGCUACUGUCAACAUUCAUUCGCUCCCUCCUGGUGUAACAAAGUGAAGUCCAUCUGUCUGGAGCUGUGUACUUUUUUUUAGUGGUAAUAACAGUUAACAUCAACAAUACGCUUUGUCUCAUUAGUAUCAAAUAAUCCCUACUACCAAGGCCCUGGUUUCUGGUCCCCAUAUUAUCUGCCAUGGAAAAAAAUAAAGACCACAGCAGGAGCUAAGAAGGUCAGUGCAUUCUCAGGGUAAUCAGCUGUAGUAAAUUCAAUUCUGACAAGAGAAGGCUUGCAAACGUCUAGGGAAUUAAGGGAUCAUCUAUAAUUUCAUAUGUUGAGUGGGAAAGUGUCCUUCCAAACAUUUAUUAAUUACAGAUGAGGAUGCGUAUGGUGGUCGUCCUUGGAGACAUUUCAUCUGAAAGCAAGAAAAACAGGCUUAACUCUUUGCUGCUGCUCCCAAAGAAGAAAAAUACUAGCAUUAGCAUUUGGCUUUGCAAUAGUUUCCACUGGUAUUCCUUCUCUCCCAGUUUUUAUUGCUCUGUCUUAGCCACUGAUGACAGUCACUCAAUCUGAAACUCCUUGCACAAAAGGUUUCCACUGUAAUCAAUAGGGAGGAAUUCCCCUACUUUUAAUCUGGCUCUGUGCCACCUCUCCAUGGUUUGCAGUCCUUAAGAAGUAGCAAAGAAAGAACAAUAGACUAAAUAAUUUUGCAUUUAGAACUGAAUCUUUCACUUGAAGAUCUUGAAGCACUUUAGAAACCUUAAUUACUACCCUUUGAGGUCUGUGCUGUCCUUUCUGUUUUACAGUUGAAGAAAUUAAAGCGCAAGAAGGUUUGAAGCCAACUUCAUCCAAGUUGGGCAGUUGAAGGGUGACAGGAACUGGGACUGGACUCUCCCAUCAUUCCACAGAUAUUUCUGCCCAUUGUGGUACAGAAGAACAUAGGGAUUUUCUUGCAGGAGGUGCAGUGCUGUGUAUCAUGGAAGGAACAGGUAAGGCUCUGACCACCUCUUGUUAUCUUCAUAUGUUCUCUUCAUCUUCAAAUGUGCGUGAAUCCUUUUUGUCAGGAACUGGUGGGACAGACUAAACACUCCUUGUGCUUCUGUUCAGGUCAUCCUUACCGCGCAAUUGCUUUUGUUUUUCUAUCAGAUGUUUUUGCCAAAGGAGCUUUAAUUUUACCAGGGCCUCAUUAAUUCACUGCAAACCUUCUAGAGGUGGUUUUGGGAGGUGCCAGUUCCUGUGUUCAGCAGGAAGUGGGGAGAACAGACGGCUUCCUUUUAAACAUUUAAAACUUGCCACAGUGGCUCUGCAAAUGCAAAUGCUCAUCUCUGCUGAGGAAUAAGACUAAAUAAGGCUCUAACUGACUCUAAGGUGUCCAACAGACUUCGAAACUGAGGGCAGAUUGCCAUGACUUCCCCUCACUAAGAGGGGGCUCAGAUGUUUCUGUAGUGCCCCAUUCUCUUCCCUGUAGGUGCUAGUAGAAAUGGAGAAUGGGAAAGAAUGAGUCCACAAUUUCCCACCCAUUGCUGUCACAGCAUGUCAGAUGUGGGAUGUGGAUAAGAGGUUUUCAUCUGUCAUAUCCCUGGUAUGGCCUCCUCUUCCAAGGAGAAGAGCCCUACCUGUGGGUGAUGUCGGUGCUACGUUACUGACAAAGACUUGUGUUGUCCCCAUUUGAGCAAGUUUCCACAUCCUGGAAGGUUUGUUUGACAUGGAUGGAAAGAAGGAGCUGCAUUCAUGGGUACCAAGUGCUUCAGCCAGGCUACAAAGCCCAUGGUGGAAGAGCCACCUCUACCCUCUGCAGAUAGCCAGAGGGUAGGAUAAGGAUAGAAGAGUCCCAGAAGAAUUAUUUAAAAAAAGAGAAUGAGGUCACAUUACUGAGGAUGAGAUCAAGGAAUAAAAUAAGCAUGUAGGGCAGAAAGGUUGCUGUGCUAAAUGAAUUACAACCACUGAGGAGUGUUAGGAAACAAGGAGAAAGGUGCUAUAAAUACAGUAAAGACAGCAGUGGGCAUAAACCCAUUACCUAAUGAGGAACAGGAGAGGUAGGAGAUGACCUAGAGAAGACCGACAUAUUUAAUGACUUUUGGCCUUAGUUUUUUUUUUUUC